RNAcentral lists this ribosomal RNA (1205 nucleotides) under marine metagenome. RNAcentral's name for it is "bacterial LSU rRNA". It matches the Rfam family "Bacterial large subunit ribosomal RNA", at positions 1570 to 2787 of the family's 2925-position model. The record is from RNAcentral.
UCGAGGGCGUUUGAUCCCGAAGCCAGUUGAAUAGGUUCCAAGAAAUAGCUUUACUAAUAGAGACCGUACUAAAACUGACACAGGUAGUCGUGGUGAAUAACCUCAGGCGCUCGAGAGAACGGUUGUUAAGGAACUAGGCAAAUUGACCCCGUACGUUCGCAAUAAGGGGGCCCUAACCCACUCGAUGGGAAGGGCGCAGAGAAAAGGCUCUGGGGACUGUUUAUCAAAAACACAGGACUGUGCAAACACGCAAGUGGAAGUAUACAGUCUGACGCCUGCUCGGUGCCGGAAUGUCAAGGAAGUAGGUUAGCUUCGGCGAAGCUUACGACCUAAGCACCGGUAAACGGCGGCCGUAACUAUGACGGUCCUAAGGUAGCGAAAUUCCUUGUCGGGUAAGUUCCGACGCGCAUGAAUGGCGUAACCACUGGAGCACUGUCUCAACAACCGACUCGGUGAAAUAGAAGACGCGGUGAAGAUACCGCGUACCCGCAGCAAGACGGAAAGACCCCGUGGACCUUUACUGUAGACUGGUAUUGGCCACGUUACUAUCAUGCGUAGGAUAGGUGGGAGGCUUUGAAACUUUGGUUCAGGCCAGAGUGGAGCCAUCCUUGAAAUACCACCCUUGAUAUUAAUGUGACCUAACUUGGACCCAUGAAUCUGGGCCAAGGACCAUGCUAGUUGGGCAGUUUGACUGGGGCGGUCUCCUCCUAAAAGGUAACGGAGGAGUGCAAAGGUCAGUUCAACAUGGUUGGAAACCAUGUGUCGAGUGUAAGCGCACAAACUGGCUUUACUGCGAGACAUACUCGUCGAGCAGUUAGGAAACUAGGCGCUAGUGAUCCGGCGAUUCCGUGUGGAAGGGUCGUCGCUCAACGGAUAAAAGGUACCCCGGGGAUAACAGGCUGAUCGCCUCCGAGCGUCCAUAGCGGCGAGGCGGUUUGGCACCUCGAUGUCGGCUCAUCACAUCCUGGGGCUGAAGGCGGUCCCAAGGGUUAGGCUGUUCGCCUAUUAAAGUGGUACGCGAGCUGGGUUCAGACCGGCGUGAGCCAGGUCGGUCCCUAUCUGCUGUGGGCGUAGCAAAUUUGAGAGGAUUCUUCUUUAGUACGAGAGGAUUAGGAAGGACGUGCCCCUGGUGCGCCAGUUGGACUGCUAAGUCCACCGCUGGGUAGCUAAGCACGGCAGGGAUAACCGCUGAAAGCAUCUAAGCG